Molecule: ribosomal RNA, 696 nt
Filed under: uncultured bacterium
Lineage: Bacteria
Description: bacterial SSU rRNA
Rfam family: Bacterial small subunit ribosomal RNA
Source: RNAcentral
GGACAGCCUCGGGAAACCGUGGGUAAUACCGGGUACUCCGCCACCCCCGCAUGGGGGAGGCGGGAGAGCGUAUGCGGCGGGGGAUGGGCCCGCGGCCUGUUAGCUAGUUGGCGGGGCAACGGCCCACCAAGGCGAUUAUGGGUAGCUGGGUUGAGAGACCGACCAGCCAGAUUGGGACUGAGACACGGCCCAGACUCCUACGGGAGGCAGCAGUGGGGAAUCUUGCGCAAUGGGGGCAACCCUGACGCAGCGACGCCGCGUGCGGGACGAAGGCCUUCGGGUCGUAAACCGCUUUCAGCAGGGACGAGGCCGCAAGGUGACGGUACCUGCAGAAGAAGCCCCGGCUAACUACGUGCCAGCAGCCGCGGUAAUACGUAGGGGGCGAGCGUUAUCCGGAUUCAUUGGGCGUAAAGCGCUCGUAGGCUGCCCGCUAGGUCCGGGGUCAAAUCCGGGGGCUCAACCCCCGCACGCCCCGGAUACCGGCGGGCUUGAGUCGGGUAGGGGAAGGCGGAAUUCCAGGUGUAGCGGUGGAAUGCGCAGAUAUCUGGAAGAACACCGGUGGCGAAGGCGGCCUUCUGGGCCUCGACUGACGCUGAGGAGCGAAAGCUGGGGGAGCGAACAGGAUUAGAUACCCUGGUAGUCCCAGCCGUAAACGAUGGACGCUAGGUGUGGGGGGAUUGUCCCUCCGUGCCGCAG